Non-coding RNA from Phoenix dactylifera (date palm), 1135 nucleotides. The record is from RefSeq and is a predicted model, not a curated record. Lineage: Eukaryota; Viridiplantae; Streptophyta; Magnoliopsida; Arecales; Arecaceae.
CAGUCCCAGCUUGGUCAUAUCGAGACGGCCGGGUGGGGGCGAGGCGACGAGCGCUCUCUCUCUCUCUCUCUCUCUCUCGCUCUCUCGCUGGCUCGCCGUUCUGUGGCUUUUAAAGAAGAGAAGGCGGACGGUAAAAAAAGCUCUCGCUGGCUCUAUUUCGUACCCUUGAAAGCUCGGGCUUCUUUUAUCGUUGUCGCUUCAUUAGAAGGAUUUUGUCUUCCUCUUCCCCUCGAGCGAGCGGGUGAUCUCGGAAAGUCUUUGGGGUUGCUACAGGGGGCUGGUUGAGAGAGUGGUCCUAACUUUGUACAUGUUUGUCGGAUCAAAAUGAUGGCAAAUUUUGUUACAAGAUCCUUGGCGUUGGUUCUUGGCUAUGCUUAUCCGGCAUAUGAAUGCUUCAAAACUGUGGAGUUGAACAAGCCGGAGAUUGAGCAGCUGAGAUUCUGGUGUCAGUAUUGACUUAUCUGGGAAUUCAGAUUUUUCGGUUCUACUUCAAAUGCACCAGAUGCUCGGCUGAAAUUGCAUUCAAAACAGAUCCUCAGAAUUCGGACUAUGUUGUUGCAUCGGGAGCAUCCCGAAAUUUUGAGCCUUGGCGGGAAGAGGACGAAGCAGUAGAAAAAGAGAAGAAGAAAAGAGCUGCUGAAGAGAUGGGGGAUGCGAUGAAGUCACUGGAAAACAGAGCAGUGGAUUCAAAGAGAGAUAUGGACAUACUUGCAGCACUAGAAGAAAUGAGGUCUAUGAAGGUAUAAAACCUUUAUUAGGUAUGUUAGAAGAGUGAGAAGGGUUUUCCCCCAAAAAAAGUGUAGAUCAAGUGGGAAAGGGAAAUAGUUUUCUUCAAUCAUUUUCCAUAUUGAGGGUUUAAAUAUAUUCAGCGAUUUCUCCCUCCUCAGGUUCCUGAUACUUCAACAGCUCGCAGAGAUGAUGAUGGGGCUGAAUGCAGUCCCUGAUAUUUUUUAGACUGUUAUUUAAUGAGUUUUAUAUGUAUCUUUCUUAUAUUUUUCAAAAUACAUUGUAAAUGUAAUGCAGGUUCAUAUUUGUAAUUCUAAACUUAUGUAAAUUUAAUCUUAUAUGACAAUAUGAAUGUUUCGAAUGAUCUGUAUAUUUGUCUUGAUGUAAAUGUAAUGCAGGUUCAUAUUGC